AUAACAAAAUCUAAUCUUUAGAGGCCCUGUAAUUGUAAUGAGUCCACUUGAAAUCCUUUAACUCUGAUCAAUUGGAGGGCAAGUCUGGUGCAGAGCAACUGACCUGUGCGUGCUGCAGCUGAAACUCCAGCAGCAA
Non-coding RNA from Pelobates cultripes (western spadefoot toad), 136 nucleotides. The record is from the annotation of a GenBank genome assembly. NCBI's taxonomy places the organism in Eukaryota, Metazoa, Chordata, Amphibia, Anura, Pelobatidae.